This 496-nucleotide long non-coding RNA is filed under the name Capra hircus (goat). RNAcentral's name for it is "lncRNA (ENSCHIG00000008313.1)". The record is from RNAcentral. Lineage: Eukaryota; Metazoa; Chordata; Mammalia; Artiodactyla; Bovidae.
GGGAAGUAAUUUAUCCUUGGUAAUGUUUCUUCGUUGUCUUUAAAUUGUGCUUAAUUUUACAAGAUCUUUUUUUUUUUUUUUUUAAGUUUUCAAGCAGAUUAUUCUCAGUGCACAGAAGAGGAUUUUACAGGAUAUGGUACAACUAUAGGCAAAGAUAAGAUUAGAGAUGAUCAGGUGUCAAUCAGCUGUACUCUCAGACCUGUAUCCUGGAAGCUGUCCUAUUAUAGUAUUUCUACAUGGUUCAAACAGCAAAGCAACAGGAGUCAUAACUCUGAAAUGGACAUGCUUUAUCCAGACUUGCCAUGGACUUUGAACAAGGAGACAACAAUCUAGCAAGAAGUGAUACUAGUUUUAGAAUUGAGAGGUAAUGCCCAUUAGUCAAAGCAGUCACAUGGUCAAGCGCAUCAUUAAUAGGUCUGGGAAAUAUUAUUGUAUCUACAUUUGGAUUUGGAUGGAAGUCAGCUUUGCUAAGGCACAUCGAGACUUUUGUAGGUAG